GAUGAACGCUGGCGGCGUGCCUAAUACAUGCAAGUCGAGCGAACGGACGAGAAGCUUGCUUCUCUGAUGUUAGCGGCGGUCGGGUGAGUAACACGUGGAUAACCUACCUAUAAGACUGGGAUAACUUCGGGAAACCGGAGCUAAUACCGGAUAAUAUUUUGAACCGCAUGGUUCAAAAGUGAAAGACGGUCUUGCUGUCACUUAUAGAUGGAUCCGCGCUGCAUUAGCUAGUUGGUAAGGUAACGGCUUACCAAGGCAACGAUUCAUAACCCACCUGACAGGAUGAUCGGCCACACUGAAACUCACACACGGUCCAGACUCCUAAGGGAGGCAGCAGUAGGGAAUCUUCCACAAUGCGCGAAAUCCUGACGUAGCAACGCCGCGUGAGUGAUGAAGGUCUUCGGAUCGUAAAACUCUGUUAUUAGGGAAGAACAUAUGUGUAAGUAACUGUGCACAUCUUGACGGUACCUAAUCAGAAAGCCACGGCUAACUACGUG
This 497-nucleotide ribosomal RNA is filed under the name uncultured bacterium. Its description in RNAcentral is "partial 16S ribosomal RNA". It matches the Rfam family "Bacterial small subunit ribosomal RNA", at positions 28 to 507 of the family's 1533-position model. The record is from RNAcentral.